AUACUGAGGGUGCAAGCGUUAAUCGGAAUUACUGGGCGUAAAGCGCACGUAGGCGGUUUAUUAAGUCAGAUGUGAAAGCCCUGGGCUUAACUUGGGAACUGCAUUUGAGACUGGUAGGCUAGAGUAUGGUAGAGGAUAGUGGAAUUCCGGGUGUAGCGGUGAAAUGCGUAGAUAUCCGGAGGAACAUCAGUGGCGAAGGCGGCUAUCUGGACCAAUACUGACACUGAGGUGCGAAAGCGUGGGGAGCAAACAGGAUUAGAAACCCCAGUAGUCC
Molecule: ribosomal RNA, 274 nt
Filed under: uncultured bacterium
Lineage: Bacteria
Description: partial 16S ribosomal RNA
Rfam family: Bacterial small subunit ribosomal RNA
Source: RNAcentral